RNAcentral lists this small nucleolar RNA (134 nucleotides) under Zostera marina. RNAcentral's name for it is "Small nucleolar RNA snoR74". It matches the Rfam family "Small nucleolar RNA snoR74". The record is from Rfam by way of RNAcentral. Lineage: Eukaryota; Viridiplantae; Streptophyta; Magnoliopsida; Alismatales; Zosteraceae.
AAAAAAGCAUGUAUCUGUCGUCAUUUUAUAAGGAUAGAUCUCUCGUAUGCUUUAGGUAGAUCGCUGGUAUUGUUUUUGGGUGAUUCUGUUUUCAAUUGAUAUGAUAAUAUGACUCAAUACACAAUGCCACAUUC